Long non-coding RNA from Triticum aestivum (bread wheat), 556 nucleotides. RefSeq lists it as uncharacterized. The record is from RefSeq and is a predicted model, not a curated record. NCBI's taxonomy places the organism in Eukaryota, Viridiplantae, Streptophyta, Magnoliopsida, Poales, Poaceae. The transcript has 2 exons.
CCAAAAUAUCAUUGCAAAAUUUCGUGGUUGCAGUAUUUGUCUUGUUAAUUUUGCAUUCCUCCCUUUUCUCAUAAAGUGUUAAUUCUGUGUUAGUUAUAUCUUAUGUUUUCUAUGUUCAUUGCUUCUGUUGACUUCAGAUUGUGCAUAUGUGGAGAAGCAUGUAUGAUUGCCCUCAGGUUUAGAACAUAUUGCAUAACAAGCCAUUCUCCUUGGCAGCCGACCUAGAAGUGAGGUCACAAUUGACACCCCUUGUCGUCCAACUUCCGGCACUUGAAGUCUCUGUGCGACAAAAUUAUGCUUGCCAUCUGAUCACCUUGCCGCAUGGUGAGAAGAUAGAUUAAGUUGGAGUUCGAGAGCUAAUAUUGUUGGCACAAAUGUUUUGAGCAAACAACUAAAAGAAGGGUAUACUAUGCUUUGCAGAUGGAAAAUGAUUCCACGGCCUCAUAUAUGCCUAUGGUAUAUGUAACUAAGCAUGAAUCAAUUUUUUUUCUCUUCAUGGUGCUAUUGCAUGCAGCAUGCUUGUGCAUAUUUAUCAAAGUAUUCAGUUGAACACUUC